GACGAACCGUGCGAACGUUGUUCGGAAUCACUGGGCUUAAAGGGCGCGUAGGCGGCCGCGUAAGUCCGGGGUGAAAUCCCCCAGCCCAACUGGGGAAGUGCCUUGGAUACUGCGUGGCUCGAGCGGGGUAGGGGCAUGUGGAACUUCCGGUGGAGCGGUGAAAUGCGUAGAUAUCGGAAGGAACGCCGGUGGCGAAAGCGACGUGCUGGACCCCCCCUGACGCUGAGGCGCGAAAGCCAGGGGAGCGAACGGG
RNAcentral lists this ribosomal RNA (253 nucleotides) under uncultured bacterium. RNAcentral's name for it is "partial 16S ribosomal RNA". It matches the Rfam family "Bacterial small subunit ribosomal RNA", at positions 524 to 776 of the family's 1533-position model. The record is from RNAcentral.